This is a long non-coding RNA of Fopius arisanus, 934 nucleotides long. RefSeq lists it as uncharacterized. Lineage: Eukaryota; Metazoa; Arthropoda; Insecta; Hymenoptera; Braconidae. The transcript is spliced from 4 exons. The record is from RefSeq and is a predicted model, not a curated record.
CGAGAAUUGCCCUGAAAUUUCGCGAGGCACAAGGAUAGAAUAUUCGAGACGUUGCAAAAUAAAUUUAAUCAUUUGGAAAUUGGAAGAAAUACAAAGUAUAAACAAAAUAAUAAAGAAGGAAAAUGGACUCCUGCUUUGAAGUGGACCAUUCUGCACGCGCGUUCCGUUUCAUUACUGUGCAUCACAAAGAGCAUCAGAAGGUAUGAUUAUUUCGUCACAGUUGCACCAUUCUCCGAGGAUGUGAUCGUAGAAGAAUGGCCCUGAAGUGAAGCUGAAGACAGAAAACUAAGGGGAGUCACCAAAAAGUAAAUCCCUGGAGCAGGCAGGAAAUUCAAACACAUGGACAUUGAAUACAUAGAGAUGAAUAGGUGGAAGUUCCACGGGGUAGGUACGACCAUGGUAAAUAUCUACAGACGACAUCCUGUCCCUUGCCAACCCAAAAUUCUGGAGGACAGCCCUGGGUAGAAGUUCUUCAUUACUGCAGGAUCUCUCCUUAUUAAUUGUUUGGGCUACUGUCUGAACGGUAGUUUUUUAAAUAUGAAUGAGAUAAUUAUACGAUAAAUAUUUAUAAUUGGUCAAUAUAUAUAAUGGUUUUGAUAUACAAAGAAAAAUUAAGGACGUGAAGAAAUAGAGAUUGAGAAAUAAAUUCGAACAGUUGUCGAUAUUGUAGGAAAAUUGUAUGAACAUUAUCAGGGAAGGAGUGAUAAUGGAAUUUGUAAAGGUUUUACGCAAAUGUGAGAAUUAUCCGUUUCAAAUUGUUCAUUGGUUUUUGCCGGUUUUUUAUUCAUUGAAAAUAAUCAGUUAGUGAAGUAUUGGUAUCAAUUCCAUUUGAAGUCAAGUUGCGUUUUUAAUGUGAUUAGAAAGGUAAAUGGGGUGGUCUUUACAAAAGUUAUAAAGAAUUGAAGAAGAAACUGGAAAUAUAUUGGACUGUUCU